This 954-nucleotide non-coding RNA is filed under the name Chlorocebus sabaeus (green monkey). The record is from Rfam by way of RNAcentral. Lineage: Eukaryota; Metazoa; Chordata; Mammalia; Primates; Cercopithecidae.
GAGCAAAUAGGUUUGGUCCUGGCCUUUCUAUUAGUUCUUAGCAAGAUUACACAUGCAAGCAUCCCCGCCCCAGUGAAGACACCCGAUAAAUCACUACGAUCAUAUGGAGUAAGUAUCAAGCACGCACAAUGCAGCUCAAGACACUUUGCUCAGCCACACCCCCACGGGAGACAGCAGUGACAAACCUUUAGCAGUAAAUGAAAGUUUAAGCUAUGCUACAAUCUAGGGUUGGUCAAUUUCGUGCCAGCCACCGCGGCCAUACGAUUAACCCACGCUAAUAAAAACCAGCGUAAAGGGUGUUUUAGAUCUAGUCAAAUAAAGCUAAACUCCAUCUAAAUUGUAAAACCUUAGCUGAUGUAAAAUAAACUACGAAAGUGGCUUUAAAAUUUCUGAACACACAAUAGCUAAGACUCAAACUGGGAUUAGAGACCCCACUAUGCUUAGCCCUAAACUUCAAUAGUUAGAACAACAAAACUACUUGCCAGAAUACUACAAGCAACAGCUUAAAACUCAAAGAACUUGGCGGUGCUUCACAUCCCCCUAGAGGAGCCUGUUCCGUAAUCAAUAAACCCCGAUCCACCCCACCAUCUCUUGCUUAGCCUGUAUACCACCAUCUUCAGCAAACCCUAACAAGGUCGCAAAGUCAGCAUAACUGUCCCCACAAAAACGUUAGGUCAAGGUGUAGCCCAUGAGAUGGUAAAAAAUGGGCUACAUUUUCUACCCCAGAAAACCCUACGAUAACUCUUAUGAAACCUAAGAGUCCAAGGAGGAUUUAGCAGUAAAUUAAGAAUAAAGUGCUUGAUUGAACCAGGCCAUAAAGCACGUACACACCGCCCGUCACUCUCCUCAAGUAUAUUUAAGGACUAACUUAACUAAACACCCCAACAUUUAUAUAGAGGAGAUAAGUCGUAACACGGUAAGUGUACUGGAAGGUGCACUUGGAUAAAUCAAAGC